RNAcentral lists this ribosomal RNA (253 nucleotides) under uncultured bacterium. Its description in RNAcentral is "partial 16S ribosomal RNA". It matches the Rfam family "Bacterial small subunit ribosomal RNA", at positions 524 to 776 of the family's 1533-position model. The record is from RNAcentral.
UACGUAGGGUGCGAGCGUUAAUCGGAAUUACUGGGCGUAAAGCGUGCGCAGGCGGUUUUGUAAGCCAGGUGUGAAAUCCCCGGGCUCAACCUGGGAAUGGCAUUUGGGACUGCAAGGCUGGAGUGCGGCAGAGGAGACUGGAAUUCCUGGUGUAGCAGUGAAAUGCGUAGAUAUCAGGAGGAAUACCGAUGGCGAAGGCAGCCUCCUGGGCCAGCACUGACGCUCAUGCACGAAAGCGUGGGGAGCAAACAGG